CCUACGGGAGGCUGCAGUAGGGAAUAUUCGGCAAUGGGGGGAACCCUGACCGAGCAACGCCGCGUGAAGGAAGAAGUUAUUCGUAAUGUAAAGUUCUUUUAACAGGGAAGAAAGAGAAAUUUGACGGUACCUGAAGAAUAAGCUCCGGCUAAAUACGUGCCAGCAGCCGCGGUAAUACGUAGGGAGCGAGCGUUAUCCGGAAUUAUUGGGCGUAAAGGGUGCGUAGAUGGCAUAGUAAGUCUUUUGUAAAAAUGCUGGGCUCAACCCAGUAGGGCAAAAGAUACUGCAAAGCUAGAGUAUGACAGAGGCAAGUGGAACUACAUGUGUAGCGGUGAAAUGCGUAGAUAUAUGUAAGAACACCAGUGGCGAAGGCGGCUUGCUGGGUCGAUACUGACAUUGAGGCACGAAAGCGUGGGGAGCAAACAGGAUUAGAUACCCCAGUAGUC
This 446-nucleotide ribosomal RNA is filed under the name uncultured bacterium. Its description in RNAcentral is "partial 16S ribosomal RNA". It matches the Rfam family "Bacterial small subunit ribosomal RNA", at positions 338 to 795 of the family's 1533-position model. The record is from RNAcentral.